Molecule: ribosomal RNA, 253 nt
Filed under: uncultured bacterium
Lineage: Bacteria
Description: partial 16S ribosomal RNA
Rfam family: Bacterial small subunit ribosomal RNA
Source: RNAcentral
UACGUAGGGGGCUAGCGUUGUCCGGAUUUAUUGGGCGUAAAGAGCGUGUAGGCGGCCAUGUAGGUCCGGUGUGAAAACUCGAGGCUUAACCUCGAGAUGUCAUCGGAAACCAUUUGGCUAGAGUCCGGAAGAGGAGAGUGGAAUUCCUGGUGUAGCGGUGAAAUGCGCAGAUAUCAGGAGGAACACCAGUGGCGAAAGCGGCUUCCUGGUCCAGCACCGACGUUCAGGCACGAAAGCGUGGGGAGCAAACAGG